CAGUCGAACGAUGAUGCCCAGCUUGCUGGGUGGAUUAGUGGCGAACGGGUGAGUAACACGUGAGUAACCUGCCCCUGACUCUGGGAUAAGCGUUGGAAACGACGUCUAAUACUGGAUAUGACUGCCGGCCGCAUGGUCUGGUGGUGGAAAGAUUUUUUGGUUGGGGAUGGACUCGCGGCCUAUCAGCUUGUUGGUGAGGUAAUGGCUCACCAAGGCGACGACGGGUAGCCGGCCUGAGAGGGUGACCGGCCACACUGGGACUGAGACACGGCCCAGACUCCUACGGGAGGCAGCAGUGGGGAAUAUUGCACAAUGGGCGAAAGCCUGAUGCAGCAACGCCGCGUGAGGGAUGACGGCCUUCGGGUUGUAAACCUCUUUUAGUAGGGAAGAAGCGAAAGUGACGGUACCUGCAGAAAAAGCACCGGCUAACUACGUGCCAGCAGCCGCGGUAAUACGUAGGGUGCAAGCGUUGUCCGGAAUUAUUGGGCGUAAAGAGCUCGUAGGCGGUUUGUCGCGUCUGCUGUGAAAUCCCGAGGCUCAACCUCGGGCUUGCAGUGGGUACGGGCAGACUAGAGUGCGGUAGGGGAGAUUGGAAUUCCUGGUGUAGCGGUGGAAUGCGCAGAUAUCAGGAGGAACACCGAUGGCGAAGGCAGAUCUCUGGGCCGUAACUGACGCUGAGGAGCGAAAGCGUGGGGAGCGAACAGGAUUAGAUACCCUGGUAGUCCACGCCGUAAACGUUGGGCGCUAGAUGUAGGGACCUUUCCACGGUUUCUGUGUCGUAGCUAACGCAUUAAGCGCCCCGCCUGGGGAGUACGGCCGCAAGGCUAAAACUCAAAGGAAUUGACGGGGGCCCGCACAAGCGGCGGAGCAUGCGGAUUAAUUCGAUGCAACGCGAAGAACCUUACCAAGGCUUGACAUACACCGGAAACGGCCAGAGAUGGUCGCCCCCUUGUGGUCGGUGUACAGGUGGUGCAUGGUUGUCGUCAGCUCGUGUCGUGAGAUGUUGGGUUAAGUCCCGCAACGAGCGCAACCCUCGUUCUAUGUUGCCAGCGCGUUAUGGCGGGGACUCAUAGGAGACUGCCGGGGUCAACUCGGAGGAAGGUGGGGAUGACGUCAAAUCAUCAUGCCCCUUAUGUCUUGGGCUUCACGCAUGCUACAAUGGCCGGUACAAAGGGCUGCGAUACCGUAAGGUGGAGCGAAUCCCAAAAAGCCGGUCUCAGUUCGGAUUGAGGUCUGCAACUCGACCUCAUGAAGUCGGAGUCGCUAGUAAUCGCAGAUCAGCAACGCUGCGGUGAAUACGUUCCCGGGCCUUGUACACACCGCCCGUCAAGUCAUGAAAGUCGGUAACACCCGAAGCCG
RNAcentral lists this ribosomal RNA (1359 nucleotides) under Curtobacterium oceanosedimentum. RNAcentral describes it as "partial 16S ribosomal RNA". It matches the Rfam family "Bacterial small subunit ribosomal RNA", at positions 59 to 1429 of the family's 1533-position model. The record is from RNAcentral. Lineage: Bacteria; Bacillati; Actinomycetota; Actinomycetes; Micrococcales; Microbacteriaceae. RNAcentral also lists the same sequence under 1 other name.